AUGACAUGCAAUACGACUUGGAAAACAGAGGAGGACAAACUAGAUCGAUCUAUGGAUCCGCAGGGGUGCGCCCCAAUGCGCAAUGACGGCCACCUAGCCGGCUAUGACAAAUACAAAGCUGUCCGAGCCGAAUACCACAGACUAGCUUCAUUCGAGCUGCAUCGCGACGUAGCCCGACAUAGAGGCGCCGCACACACCCUAUGCUUCACCGAUGAAGUAAUGGAACAUGAAUUCCUAGAAGGGUUCAAACCCGUAAACAUUGAAUCAUAUGAUGGGACAACAGACCCCGCAGUAUGGAUCGAGGACUUCCUUCUCCAUAUUCAUAUGGCCUGCGGCGAUGAUCUCCACACCAUCAAGUAUCUCCCGCUAAAACUCAAAGGACCAGUUCGGCAUUGGUUGAACAGUCUGCCCAAAAACUCUAUCGGUAGUUGGGAGAACCUGGAAGACGCAUUCCUUGACAACUUCCAAGGUACUUAUGUACGACCUCCAGAUGCCGAUGACUUAAGUCAUAUAAUCCAACAACCCGGAGAGUCAGCCAGGAAAUUCUGGACUCGGUUCUUAACUAAAAAGAACCAGAUCGUCGUUUGUCCGGAUGUCGAAGCCCUAGCGGCCUUCAAGCAUAACAUCUGUGACGAGUGGCUGGCCUGA
This 648-nucleotide ribosomal RNA is filed under the name Triticum aestivum (bread wheat). RNAcentral describes it as "partial small subunit ribosomal RNA". Lineage: Eukaryota; Viridiplantae; Streptophyta; Magnoliopsida; Poales; Poaceae. The record is from RNAcentral.